UGGGAGGAUCUGAUGACCAUAGCCUGUCU
RNAcentral lists this non-coding RNA (29 nucleotides) under Mus musculus (house mouse). Lineage: Eukaryota; Metazoa; Chordata; Mammalia; Rodentia; Muridae. The record is from RNAcentral.